RNAcentral lists this transfer RNA (77 nucleotides) under Candidatus Tokpelaia sp. JSC161. RNAcentral's name for it is "tRNA-Arg". It matches the Rfam family "tRNA". From Rfam's summary of the family: Transfer RNA (tRNA) molecules are approximately 80 nucleotides in length. Their secondary structure includes four short double-helical elements and three loops (D, anti-codon, and T loops). RNAcentral also lists the same sequence under 1 other name. Lineage: Bacteria; Pseudomonadati; Pseudomonadota; Alphaproteobacteria; Hyphomicrobiales. The record is from RNAcentral.
GCACCCGUAGCUCAGCUGGAUAGAGUACCAGACUACGAAUCUGGGGGUCAGGAGUUCGAAUCUCUUCGGGUGCACCA